GAUUUAUUCCCUUGCUGUUCUGGAUUCUUAGCCUUGGUUUUGGACGGGCCCCCGGUUGAGAAGCAUAACUACUGGGUCCAUGUGAAGGCUGAUGGUGGUAGUUGAACCUGGGCCUGACCUCCCCCAGGUCUCUGUGGCAAUGUUAUUUACAAGAAGUGUCCCUUCUUGCUCAGCAAAGAGACGCCUCCUUUAAUAUAUAUUGCUGGUUCAUUAACAGUGCACUCAGGUUCCACACAGCACCAUAGCCUGUGUCUGAAGGAAGCUAAUUGACACCUAUUUUGCCCAUGAGCCUUCUUGGAUUUAGGAAUACCAGACAGCACUUUAGCACCGGGCUUGGGGGUCAUUUUUAACAUCCAGAUCGCCAACAAAAAGCACGGCAAUGCAGAAAACGUGGCAAUAAAGAAACCGUGAAAGGGAUACCAUGUUUACAACAUGAGCUGAAACAAGAAGGCAGAGGGUUGCCUUGUUUGACCUCAGCUGAAAACAUGCACGUUGAGCAACUUCACUUUUUCACUGGUAUGACAAUCUCCAUGAAUGACCAUGACAACACAGUGAGUAUUGAUUUGGGGGUUGCAAAUCAAUUUUAGCAAGGAGAGGAUUUUGCAAAUAUGGCACCCGUGAAGAAAUGGGGAUCCACUGUAUAGUUUACUAUUAUCCAUGUGCUUG
This is a non-coding RNA of Microcebus murinus (gray mouse lemur), 666 nucleotides long. Lineage: Eukaryota; Metazoa; Chordata; Mammalia; Primates; Cheirogaleidae. The record is from RefSeq and is a predicted model, not a curated record.